UACAGAGGUCUCAAGCGUUGUUCGGAUUCAUUGGGCGUAAAGGGUGCGUAGGCGGCGCGGUAAGUCGGGUGUGAAAUCUUGGAGCUUAACUCCGAAACUGCAUUCGAUACUGCCGUGCUUGAGGACUGGAGAGGAGACUGGAAUUUACGGUGUAGCGGUGAAAUGCGUAGAUAUCGGGAGGAACACCAGUGGCGAAGGCGGCUUUCUGGCCCGUUCUUGACGCUGAGGCGCGAAAGCUAGGGUAGCAAACGGG
Molecule: ribosomal RNA, 253 nt
Filed under: uncultured bacterium
Lineage: Bacteria
Description: partial 16S ribosomal RNA
Rfam family: Bacterial small subunit ribosomal RNA
Source: RNAcentral